RNAcentral lists this ribosomal RNA (492 nucleotides) under uncultured bacterium. Its description in RNAcentral is "partial 16S ribosomal RNA". It matches the Rfam family "Bacterial small subunit ribosomal RNA", at positions 30 to 507 of the family's 1533-position model. The record is from RNAcentral.
AUUGAACGCUGGCGGCAUGCUUUACACAUGCAAGUCGAACGGUAACAGGCCUUCGGGUGCUGACGAGUGGCGAACGGGUGAGUAAUGCAUCGGAACGUGCCCAGAGGUGGGGGAUAACGCAGCGAAAGCUGUGCUAAUACCGCAUGUGAUCUGAGGAUGAAAGCGGGGGACCAGGCAGCAAUGUUUGGCCUCGCGCCUUUGGAGCGGCCGAUGUCAGAUUAGGUAGUUGGUGGGGUAAAGGCCUACCAAGCCGACGAUCUGUAGCUGGUCUGAGAGGACGACCAGCCACACUGGGACUGAGACACGGCCCAGACUCCUACGGGAGGCAGCAGUGGGGAAUUUUGGACAAUGGGCGCAAGCCUGAUCCAGCAAUGCCGCGGGCGGGAAGAAGGCCUUCGGGUUGUAAACCGCUUUUGUACGGAACGAAAAGGCUCUGGCUAAUACCUGGGGCUGAUGACGGUACCGUAAGAAUAAGCACCGGCUAACUACGUG